RNAcentral lists this ribosomal RNA (1188 nucleotides) under human gut metagenome. Its description in RNAcentral is "bacterial LSU rRNA". It matches the Rfam family "Bacterial large subunit ribosomal RNA", at positions 1361 to 2558 of the family's 2925-position model. The record is from RNAcentral.
AAGGUUCGUCCGCUGAGGGUUAGUCGGGACCUAAGCCGAGGCCGAAAGGCGUAGGCGAUGGACAAUCGGUUGAUAUUCCGAUACCACUACUGAUCGUUAUUAUCGAUGGUGUGACGGAGAAGGAUAGAGUGUGCUAGCUAUUGGAUGCUAGUCUAAGCGUUUAGGGAGUUAGGAAAGGCAAAUCCGUCCUAACAAUUCUGAGGCGUGAUGGGGAAGGUUCUACGGAACCGAAGUACUUGAUUCCAUGCUUCCAAGAAAAGCAUCUAGAGAGAGAUGUAGUGCCCGUACCGCAAACCGACACAGGUAGAUGAGGAGAGAAUCCUAAGGCCGGCGGAAGAAUCACAGUUAAGGAACUAGGCAAAUUGACCCCGUAACUUAGGGAGAAGGGGUGCCUGCGAGAGCAGGCCGCAGAGAAUAGGCCCAAGCAACUGUUUAGCAAAAACACAGGUCUCUGCUAAAGCGAAAGCUGAUGUAUAGGGGCUGACGCCUGCCCGGUGCUGGAAGGUUAAGGGGAACACUUAGCGCAAGCGAAGGUGUGAACUUAAGCCCCAGUAAACGGCGGCCGUAACUAUAACGGUCCUAAGGUAGCGAAAUUCCUUGUCAGGUAAGUUCUGACCCGCACGAAUGGCGUAAUGACUUGGGCACUGUCUCAACUGUGAAUCCGGCGAAGUUGUAGUGCGAGUGAAGAUGCUCGCUACCCGCGAUUGGACGGAAAGACCCCGUAGAGCUUUACUGUAGCUUAGCAUUGAGUUUUGGUAUUGUCUGUACAGGAUAGGUGGGAGACUAGGAAACCAGGGCGUCAGCCUUGGUGGAGUCAACCUUGGGAUACCACCCUGACAGUACUGAAAUUCUAACUGGCGGCCAUGAAUCUGGUCACAGGACAUUGUUAGGUGGGCAGUUUGACUGGGGCGGUCGCCUCCUAAAAAGUAACGGAGGCGCCCAAAGGUUCCCUCAGAACGGUCGGAAAUCGUUCGAAGAGUGCAAAGGCAGAAGGGAGCCUGACUGCGACACCCACAAGUGGAGCAGGGACGAAAGUCGGGCUUAGUGAUCCGGUGGUACCUCGUGGGAGGGCCAUCGCUCAACGGAUAAAAGCUACCUCGGGGAUAACAGGCUGAUCUCCCCCAAGAGUCCACAUCGACGGGGAGGUUUGGCACCUCGAUGUCGGCUCGUCGCAUCCUGGGGCUGAAG